GCCCAGGUGGUGAAAUUGGUAUACACGCUGUGUUCAGGUCGCAGUGGGCUCACGCCCGUGAGAGUUCGAGUCUCUCCCUGGGCACCA
RNAcentral lists this transfer RNA (87 nucleotides) under Thalassolituus marinus. RNAcentral's name for it is "tRNA-Leu". It matches the Rfam family "tRNA". From Rfam's summary of the family: Transfer RNA (tRNA) molecules are approximately 80 nucleotides in length. Lineage: Bacteria; Pseudomonadati; Pseudomonadota; Gammaproteobacteria; Oceanospirillales; Oceanospirillaceae. RNAcentral also lists the same sequence under 3 other names. The record is from RNAcentral.